RNAcentral lists this ribosomal RNA (184 nucleotides) under Arabidopsis thaliana (thale cress). Lineage: Eukaryota; Viridiplantae; Streptophyta; Magnoliopsida; Brassicales; Brassicaceae. The record is from RNAcentral.
CCACGGCGAUGGUUCAUCAAGUCUUCAAAAAAGAAUAUAUACGAUUGCAUUGCAUAUACUAACGGAUGCGAUCAUACCAGCACUAAUGCACCGGAUCCCAUCAGAACUCCGCAGUUAAGCGUGCUUGGGCGAGAGUAGUACUAGGAUGGGUGACCUCCCGGGAAGUCCUCGUGUUGCAUCCCUC